UGAAUACGAGAUGCUACGGCAUUGAAGCAGUGUAUGUCAGACUUCCAAGAAAAGCUCGCAAUGUCAUAAACAAUAAAUGCCUGUACCAUAACCGACACAGGUGGGUAGGUAGAGUAUACUAAGGGGCGCGAGAUAACUCUCUCUAAGGAACUCGGCAAAAUGACUCCGUAACUUCGGGAGAAGGAGUGCCUUAUUUUAUAAGGUUGCAAUAACAAGAUCCAAGCAACUGUUUACCAAAAACACAGGUCUCCGCUAAGUCGAAAGACGAUGUAUGGGGGCUGACGCCUGCCCAGUGCCAGAAGGUUAAAGAAGUUGGUUAGCUUCGGCGAAGCUGAUGACUGAAGCCCUGGUGAACGGCGGCCGUAACAAUAACGGUCCUAAGGUAGCGAAAUUCCUUGUCGGGUAAGUUCCGACCCGCACGAAAGGCGUAAUGAUUUGGAUACUGUCUCGGAGAGGGGCUCGGUGAAAUAGACUUGUCUGUGAAGAUGCGGACUACCUGCACCUGGACAGAAAGACCCUAUGAAGCUUUACUGUAACUUGAGAUUGCAAUUGGACUUUAUUUGCGCAGUAUAGGUGGGAGACGUUGAGAAUAUUCUUGCGGGAAUAUUGGAGUCAUCAGUGAGAUACCACUCUUGUAAUGUUAGAUUUCUAACUUUGUAUCAUUAUCUGGUCAAAGGACAGUUUCAGGCGGGCAGUUUGACUGGGGCGGUCGCCUCCUAAACGGUAACGGAGGCGCACAAAGGUUUCCUCUGAACGUGUAGAAAUCGUAUCUAGAGUGUAAAGGCAUAAGGAAGCUUGACUGUGAGACCUACAAGUCGAGCAGGGACGAAAGUCGGUCUUAGUGAUCUGACGGUGCUGAGUGGAAAGGCCGUCACUCAACGGAUAAAAGUUACUCUAGGAUAACAGGCUGAUCUCCCCCAAGAGUUCACAUCGGCGGGGAGGUUUGGCACCUCGAUGUCGGCUCAUCGCAUCCUGGGGCGGUAGUACGUCCCAAGGGUUGGGCUGUUCGCCCAUGAAAGCGGUACGCGAGCUGGGUUCAGAACGUCGUGAGACAGUUCGGUCCAUAUCCGGUGUAGGCGUUAGAAUAUUGAGAGGAGCCUUCUUUAGUACGAGAGGACCGAGAAGGACAUACCUCUGGUGUACCAGUUAUCGUGCCAACGGUAAACGCUGGGUAGCUAUGUAUGGAGUGGAUAACCGCUGAAAGCAUCUAAGUGGGAAGCCCACCUCAAGAUAAGUAUUCUCA
RNAcentral lists this ribosomal RNA (1243 nucleotides) under metagenome. RNAcentral's name for it is "bacterial LSU rRNA". It matches the Rfam family "Bacterial large subunit ribosomal RNA", at positions 1564 to 2816 of the family's 2925-position model. The record is from RNAcentral.